RNAcentral lists this ribosomal RNA (431 nucleotides) under uncultured bacterium. RNAcentral describes it as "partial 16S ribosomal RNA". It matches the Rfam family "Bacterial small subunit ribosomal RNA", at positions 29 to 507 of the family's 1533-position model. The record is from RNAcentral.
AACGAACGCUGGCGGCAGGCUUAACACAUGCAAGUCGAACGCCCCGCCAGGGGAGUGGCAGACGGGUGAGUAACGCGUGGGAACAUACCCUUUUCUACGGAAUAGCUCUGGGAAACUGGAAUUAAUACCGUAUACGCCCUACGGGGGAAAGAUUUAUCGGGGAAGGAUUGGCCCGCGUUGGAUUAGCUAGUUGGUGGGGUAAAGGCCUACCAAGGCGACGAUCCAUAGCUGGUCUGAGAGGAUGAUCAGCCACAUUGGGACUGAGACACGGCCCAAACUCCUCGGGGGGGGAGGGGGGGGAAAUAUGGGAGAAGGGGCGAAGGCCUACACCACCCACGCCCCGGAGUUAUUGAGGUCUUGGGGGUUGAAAAGCUCUUCCCCCAAUGAAGAAAGUGACGGUAGUCGGAAAAGAAGCCCCGGCUACCUUCGUC